GAUGAACGCUGGCGGCGUGCUUAACACAUGCAAGUCGAACGAUGAAGCCCAGCUUGCUGGGUGGAUUAGUGGCGAACGGGUGAGUAACACGUGAGUAACCUGCCCUUAACUCUGGGAUAAGCCUGGGAAACUGGGUCUAAUACCGGAUAGGAGCGCCUACCGCAUGGUGGGUGUUGGAAAGAUUUAUCGGUUUUGGAUGGACUCGCGGCCUAUCAGCUUGUUGGUGAGGUAAUGGCUCACCAAGGCGACGACGGGUAGCCGGCCUGAGAGGGUGACCGGCCAAACUGGGACUGAGACACGGCCCAGACUCCUACGGGAGGCAGCAGUGGGGAAUAUUGCACAAUGGGCGCAAGCCUGAUGCAGCGACGCCGCGUGAGGGAUGACGGCCUUCGGGUUGUAAACCUCUUUCAGUAGGGAAGAAGCGAAAGUGACGGUACCUGCAGAAGAAGCACCGGCUAACUACGUG
This 466-nucleotide ribosomal RNA is filed under the name uncultured bacterium. RNAcentral describes it as "partial 16S ribosomal RNA". It matches the Rfam family "Bacterial small subunit ribosomal RNA", at positions 28 to 507 of the family's 1533-position model. The record is from RNAcentral.